This 603-nucleotide ribosomal RNA is filed under the name Triticum aestivum (bread wheat). RNAcentral's name for it is "partial small subunit ribosomal RNA". The record is from RNAcentral. Lineage: Eukaryota; Viridiplantae; Streptophyta; Magnoliopsida; Poales; Poaceae.
AUGUCGCGUUUUUGGUGGGGUGAUGACGACAACCAGAGAAGGAUGCAUUGGAUGGCGUGGUGGAAAAUGUGUGUCCCGAAAAGCCAAGGCGGAAUGGGCUUUCGUGAUAUUCAUUGUUUUAAUUUGGCGAUGUUGGCUAAACAAGCUUGGCGUCUCCUUGAGAACCCAGAUUCCUUGCGUGCCACCAUUUUGCGAGUUAAGUAUUUCCCUGAUGGAGAUUUAUUGAAUGCAAAGUUAAAAAAGGGAUCAUCCUUCACGUGGCAAAGUAUUAUGGCGGGGAUUAAUACCUUAAAACAUGGCUAUAUUUGGCGAGUUGGAAAUGGUCAGAAAAUUGACAUUUGGGAAGAUGCUUGGAUCCCUAACUGUGUUAAUAGAAAAGUCAUCACUCCAAAGGGGCAACAUUUGUUAUCAAAAGUGUCGGAUUUCAUUGACCCUUCUUCGAAUAGGUGGGAUGAGGAUCUCAUCAGACAGACCUUGUGGCCCAUUGAUUCACAGCGGGUCCUUGCUAUCCCUCUGCCUCAGUUUGAUAUGUCAGAUUUUGUUGCCCGGAGUCAUACUAAGAGUGGGAUUUUUUCUGUUCGGUCUGCAUAUUUUGUUGAGUAG